GGGGGCGACUGGUUUCGACGGGUAGGUUGAAGCUUCAGUGGCGUGUCGAGGUUGGUCUCCAGGCCUCGUAAAAAGGAGCCCGAAAAACACAAAUGCUGACGAAAGUUACGCACUGGCUGCAUAAAUGCGCCACGUCUCUACUCUGACUCCCGCUAAGGGAUAGAGGCGACGACAGCGGGAUAAGGCCAAUACCGGGGAUCCGGGUUGCGGCACGAAAAUGAUAACAGGAUUCUAGCGACCCAAGUGGCCCCGUCGGGGGGCAGCGAAGGCGGCGAAUCUUUUAAUCCCCGACUACACACGUAGAAGCUGUAGUGACUCUUACUCGGACGGGGGUUCAACUCCCCCGCCUCCACCA
RNAcentral lists this transfer-messenger RNA (355 nucleotides) under Verrucomicrobia bacterium S94. It matches the Rfam family "transfer-messenger RNA". Rfam says of the family: Bacterial tmRNA, also known as 10Sa RNA or SsrA, is named for its dual tRNA and mRNA-like properties. Its role is to liberate the mRNA from a stalled ribosome. Lineage: Bacteria; Pseudomonadati; Verrucomicrobiota. RNAcentral also lists the same sequence under 1 other name. The record is from Rfam by way of RNAcentral.